Sphaeramia orbicularis (orbiculate cardinalfish) is the source of this 195-nucleotide long non-coding RNA. RefSeq lists it as uncharacterized. The record is from RefSeq and is a predicted model, not a curated record. The transcript is spliced from 2 exons. NCBI's taxonomy places the organism in Eukaryota, Metazoa, Chordata, Actinopteri, Kurtiformes, Apogonidae.
CUUUAAAGCGUAACACACACUGUUAUCAGCAGGACGAGUUGAAAACUUUGGUCGCGAGAGCACGGACUAAUUCAGAGAAGAAAGAAGCAAAAGGUGGAUUUUAAGUGAAACCUAAAAGUUGUAUCUGGCGAAGAUCACCUGACUCCAGCAAACAUGGAUGGAAAACCCACCUGUGACCAGUGUGGGAAGAGUUUC